AGGUCCUCAGUAAGUAUUUGUU
This 22-nucleotide microRNA is filed under the name Rattus norvegicus (Norway rat). RNAcentral's name for it is "Rno-Mir-1264_5p (mature (co-guide))". Lineage: Eukaryota; Metazoa; Chordata; Mammalia; Rodentia; Muridae. The record is from RNAcentral.